GGGGACGGAGAAGGCUAGGUGGGCCUGGCGACGGUUGUCCAGGUUCAAGUGCGUAGGCUUAAGAGUUAGGUAAAUCCGGCUCUUUUUAAGGCUGAGACACGACGUCGAGCAUCUACGGGUGUGAAGUCAUUGAUGCCAUGCUUCCAGGAAAAGCCUCUAAGCUUCAGAUUGUAAGGAAUCGUACCCCAAACCGACACAGGUGGUCGGGUAGAGAAUACCAAGGCGCUUGAGAGAACUCGGGUGAAGGAACUAGGCAAAAUGGUACCGUAACUUCGGGAGAAGGUACGCUCUUGAUGGUGAAGUCCCUCGCGGAUGGAGCUAUUGAGAGUCGCAGAUACCAGGUGGCUGCAACUGUUUAUUAAAAACACAGCACUGUGCAAAAUCGUAAGAUGACGUAUACGGUGUGACGCCUGCCCGGUGCCGGAAGGUUAAUU
This 434-nucleotide ribosomal RNA is filed under the name Vibrio parahaemolyticus. Its description in RNAcentral is "partial 23S ribosomal RNA". It matches the Rfam family "Bacterial large subunit ribosomal RNA", at positions 1468 to 1882 of the family's 2925-position model. The record is from RNAcentral. Lineage: Bacteria; Pseudomonadati; Pseudomonadota; Gammaproteobacteria; Vibrionales; Vibrionaceae.